UAGACCAAAGAGAUGCAUGAG
Molecule: non-coding RNA, 21 nt
Filed under: Arabidopsis thaliana (thale cress)
Lineage: Eukaryota; Viridiplantae; Streptophyta; Magnoliopsida; Brassicales; Brassicaceae
Source: RNAcentral